AGUGAACGCUGGCGGUAGGCCUAACACAUGCAAGUCGAACGGCAGCACAGUAAGAGCUUGCUCUUACGGGUGGCGAGUGGCGGACGGGUGAGGAAUACAUCGGAAUCUACUUUUUCGUGGGGGAUAACGUAGGGAAACUUACGCUAAUACCGCAUACGACCUACGGGUGAAAGCAGGGGAUCUUCGGACCUUGCGCGAUUGAAUGAGCCGAUGUUGGAUUAGCUAGUUGGCGGGGUAAAGGCCCACCAAGGCGACGAUCCGUAGCUGGUCUGAGAGGAUGGUCAGCCACACUGGAACUGAGACACGGUCCAGGCUCCUGCGGGAGGCAGCAGUGGGGAAUAUUGGACAAUGGGCGCAAGCCUGAUCCAGCCAUACCGCGUGGGUGAAGAAGGCCUUCGGGUUGUAAAGCCCUUUUGUUGGGAAAGAAAAGCAGCAGGUUAAUACCCCGCUGUUCUGACGGUACCCAAAGAAUAAGCACCGGCUAACUUCGUG
This 492-nucleotide ribosomal RNA is filed under the name uncultured bacterium. RNAcentral's name for it is "partial 16S ribosomal RNA". It matches the Rfam family "Bacterial small subunit ribosomal RNA", at positions 29 to 507 of the family's 1533-position model. The record is from RNAcentral.